Molecule: ribosomal RNA, 458 nt
Filed under: uncultured bacterium
Lineage: Bacteria
Description: partial 16S ribosomal RNA
Rfam family: Bacterial small subunit ribosomal RNA
Source: RNAcentral
CUACGGGCGGCUGCAGUGAGGAAUAUUGGUCAAUGGGCGCAAGCCUGAACCAGCCAUCUCGCGUGCAGGAGGACUGCCCUAUGGGUUGUAAACUGCUUUUAUAUAGGAAGAAACCUACUUACGUGUAAGUAGCUGACGGUACUAUAAGAAUAAGGAUCGGCUAACUCCGUGCCAGCAGCCGCGGUAAUACGGAGGAGCCAAGCGUUAUCCGGAUUUAUUGGGUUUAAAGGUGCGUAGGUGGUCUUAUAAGUCAGAAGUGAAAUCUGGCCGCUUAACGGUAAAACUGCUUUUGAAACUGUAGGACUGGAAUAUGGGAGCAGAAGGCGGAAUGAGUAAUGUAGCGGUGAAAUGCAUAGAUAUUACUCAGAACACCGAUUGUGAAGACAGCUUGCUAUACCAUUAUUGACACUGAUGCACGAAAGCGUGGGUAUCGAACAGGAUUAGAUACCCGUGUAGUC